AUACCUUUCUCGGCCUUUUGGCUAAGAUCAAGUGUAGUAUCUGUUCUUAUCAGUUUAAUAGCUGAUAUGGGCCACGUGCCCCAACGCUAUUAACCUAAUUUUUUGGGUAGCUUGCUACCCGGUCCUCCACGUGUCGCUUCGGCCUUACACUACCGCCUUAGCCUGGCACAGCCCAA
RNAcentral lists this small nuclear RNA (176 nucleotides) under Selaginella moellendorffii. RNAcentral's name for it is "snRNA U2". It matches the Rfam family "U2 spliceosomal RNA". From Rfam's summary of the family: U2 is a small nuclear RNA (snRNA) component of the spliceosome (involved in pre-mRNA splicing). Complementary binding between U2 snRNA (in an area lying towards the 5' end but 3' to hairpin I) and the branchpoint sequence (BPS) of the intron results the bulging out of an unpaired adenosine, on the BPS, which initiates a nucleophilic attack at the intronic 5' splice site, thus starting the first of two transesterification reactions that mediate splicing. Lineage: Eukaryota; Viridiplantae; Streptophyta; Lycopodiopsida; Selaginellales; Selaginellaceae. The record is from Rfam by way of RNAcentral.